AUGUGGGCUGGGGGGACAGGCGGUGAGGCGGUGGGGUGGGGGUGGUGCCAGGCCUUCAAGGUCAAACCGUUGCAGUCAGCCGUUAGAACUGCGUUCGAGCGCGGGCCCCAAAUCCCGGGACACGCAGGUCGCGGGCGGGCGGCGCUGGCCCCCGAGCUCUCUUCCCGCGGGAUCUCGGGCCGGCGUGAGGUGGAGCCAGCUUGGGCCGGGUAUUCCCUGGCGCUGCUUGCCCGCCAGUGCGGGAAGCUGUUGCGACAGACGGGCGGAGGCCCCUUAGACUCCGGUUGGAUCUGGUGUGCUGUCCCCCGCCCCAUGCCGCGCGCGAGCCGGCUCCUGUGGGCUCGGUGCUCCUCAAGCGCCGGCAUGCCGCCCUGGGCUUGCACGCGAAGUCACCCGGUAUAUCCCGCGGGUGCUGAAUGAAUGAGUUCUCCGGGGCCCGCUGUCUCUGGGUCCUGCGCCAGGCCGAGAGCUGGAGGCAGGAAGGAGAUGUCGAAAUGGGGCGGGAUGGUUCAGAGAUGACAGGUGGAGAGGCCGGUCUGGAGACAGCUGCCAAACAGCACAGAAAGUACGGCGACUGUGGAGAAGCUCGGACAGAACAGCUUCUCCCGGCACUUACGCGCUGAUGACCACCACUGCCUGGGGUGAUUGCCUUUUGUGAUAAGAUCGCUGUUCUUCCCCAGCGGGGCGGCCCGAGUCUGAGAGCCGCACUCACUGGUUUGUGCCGGCGAUUCCCAGCCGGGAGCACCACCUCCUGGGCGGUGACGUUGCGCGGGAGCUGCACGGGGGCUGCUGGCGCGGUUGAGGAACGCAGAACUCGCCGCUUCUCCGUCGUCCUUGCUUCGGUAUCCCUUCUCGGGAGUGUGUUUGCACAAGCCUCCCCCGUUUCCAGCUCGGUUCUUAACUACCUAUUUUUCCGAGAUGACGAUGCAGUUGUGAACUUUUCCAUCUCGUUAUAGCUUUUAAGGAAGAGGCUUUCUUUUUUUCUUUAAAGCUUAGUCCUUCUUUGACUAAGGACUGGUUUGGUUUGGUUUGGUUUUGACUGUUUGAUUCAUCUAUUCUCUUCCUCCUCAGCAAUGGUUAAUAAUCUUUGGGCCUGGACCUUUGUGAAAGUAACGAAACUACAGAUCCUCUUCCCUCCACUUCCCACCCGCCGUGCACACACCACCUAGGGGGCCAUAAACUUUUAGGUUAAAAACCCUUCUCUACAUCUCUCUCCUCUAGCUCGCUUCCCUUGAGAAAUGAAUAGAUCUCCCCAAAAGAUAAACCACUCAAUCCUGCUAGAGAACUAAUUCCUUCUACUGCCAAACUACUGCAGUAAUGAGCUAUACCUGCUGUAUCCUUUCUCUCCUUAAUCCCCACAUUUAAAUUUUAAAAAAAUUUUAUUUAUUUACUUGAGAGCGUGAGCAAGGGAGAGAACACGAGCAGGGGCAGAGGGAGAAGCACACUCCCCAUUGAGCAGGGAUCCCCUUGGGGGGCUCCAUCCCAGGACCUGACAUCACGACCUGGGCAGAAGGCAGAAACUUAACAGACUGAGCCACUCAGGUGCCCAACCCCAACAUUUUCACUCAUUUAUCCAGUGACCACAGAUGACCUUUCCAAAUGUAAUGGGUAUUAUUCUUAUUCCCUCCUGCCCCCACUGACUCAUCCCUCACUGAAAUAUUUUCCUCCCUAGGAACCACUCUAUUCUACAUUUUAGACUUCUCAAUUUUCUACAUUUCUCUAAACACCGAGGGGAAGCAUUGCUAAUGUUUUAAUGCUUUUUGUCAUCUUUAAUACCUUAGAGAACCUUACCAUUCCAAAUCUGUUUCCCCCAUUGGGCCUGUAUUUCCCUCCUCACAUACUACUACUUGUCUACUACUACUACUACUACUGCUGCUGUAUUUCCCUCCUCAUACUACUACUACUACCACUACACUACUACUAUUACACUACUACACUACUACUACUACUGCUACUGCUACUGUAUUUCCCUUACAUGCUACUUCUACUACUACUACUACUACUACUAAACUACUGCUGCUGCUGCUGCUGCUGCUGCUGCUUUUUAACUUAAACUUCAGUGGACAUACAGUGCAACAUUGGUUUCUGGAGUAGAAUUCAGUGAUGGAUCACUUACAACACCCAGUGCUCAUUGCCCACCUAGCCCACACCCACCCACGUCCCUCCAUCAGCCAUCAAUUUCUCUAUUAAGAGUGUCUUAUUGUGGGGUGCCUGAGUGGCUCAGUUGUUGGGCAUCUGCCUUCAGCUCAGGUCAUGAUCCAGGGUCCUGGGAUCGAGCCCCGCAUCAGGCUCCUGGCUCAGCGGCAAGCCUGCUUCUCCCUCUCCCACUCCCCACUUGUAUUCCCUCUCUAGAUGUCUCUUCUUCUCUGUCAAAUAAAAUUAAAAAAAAAAAAAGAGUGUCAUUGCUUGUUUCCCUCCUUUUUUUCUUUUCACCUUCCCAUAUGUUCAUCUGUUUUCUUUCUUAAAAUUCCACACCUGCGUGAGAUCAUACGGCAUUUGUCUUUCUCUGACUUAUUUCACUUAGCAUAAUACAGUCUGGCUCCAUCCAUGUCAUUGCAAAUGGCAUGGCGAGUAAUACUCCAUUGCAUAUACAAACCAUGUCUUUUUUUAUCCAUUCAUCAGCCAAUGGACAUUUGAGCUGUCUUCGUAGCUUGGCUAUUGUUAACAUGCUGCUAUAAACAUCCAGGGGCAUGUGUCCCAGCGAAUCUGUAUUUUUGUGUCCUUCAGGUAAAUAUUUAGUAGUGCAAUUGCUGAAUUGUAAGGUAGUUCUAUUUUUAACUUUUUGAGGAACCUCUGUGCUGUUCUCCAGAGUGGCUGCACCAGUUUGCAUUCCUACCAGGAGUGCAAGAGGGUUCCCCUUUCUCUGCAUCCUCACCAACACCUGUUGUUUCUUGUUAAUUUUAGCCAUGCUGACAGGUGUGAGACGGUAUCUCAUUUUGGUUUUGAUUAGAUUUUGCUGAUGAGUGAUGUUGAGCAUCUCUUCUUAGCCGUCUGGAUGUCUUUUUUGAAAAUCUGUCUAUUCAUGUCUUCUGCCCAUUUCAUAACUGGGUUUUUUGUUUUGGGGGGUUCAUUACAUACUUUUUUUUUUUUUAGAUUUUUAAAAAUUUAUUUGACAGAUCAUAAGCAGGCAGCGAGGCAGGCAG
Long non-coding RNA from Mustela putorius furo (domestic ferret), 3143 nucleotides. The record is from Ensembl. NCBI's taxonomy places the organism in Eukaryota, Metazoa, Chordata, Mammalia, Carnivora, Mustelidae.